ACGCGCCCCGGGGGGACGGCAGCCGCUCCGCGUCCCCGCGCGCGCUCCCGAGCGGCACCUGGGGCCCGCGCCCCCUUCUCCAGCCUGAAGGACUUGUGCUUCCCACUCCCCCACCCCGAGGGCUGCAGAUCCCGGCGGGACCGCGCAGUCCGGACCCCCCCGAGCGCCGGCGCUUUGUCACUGCGGGCAAGUCACGUCGCCUCUCAGAACCUCGGGGUCCCCUUCUGCUGAGUGCAGGUGACGGGAGGGAGCUCGCAGCGUCGUGAAAGGUGCUCAAGGAGACGAGAUGAGGAAACUAAGUCAGAAAGGCUAAAUGACUUCCCCAGUUGAGACAACUAGUGGAAAAAGAAGAAUCAGCCCUCAAGGACAAGAUGGUCACAUUAGGGAGACACCAACACCAAAAGUUAAAUAACAAUAAAACGUUAAUUAUUCAA
This is a long non-coding RNA of Cynocephalus volans (Philippine flying lemur), 434 nucleotides long. RefSeq lists it as uncharacterized. The record is from RefSeq and is a predicted model, not a curated record. Lineage: Eukaryota; Metazoa; Chordata; Mammalia; Dermoptera; Cynocephalidae. The transcript has 2 exons.